AUCUAGCUGACGAAUUUCAAAUAGAACGAAAAACGCAUCCUACAU
Molecule: non-coding RNA, 45 nt
Filed under: Schistosoma mansoni
Lineage: Eukaryota; Metazoa; Platyhelminthes; Trematoda; Strigeidida; Schistosomatidae
Source: RNAcentral